Molecule: ribosomal RNA, 478 nt
Filed under: uncultured bacterium
Lineage: Bacteria
Description: partial 16S ribosomal RNA
Rfam family: Bacterial small subunit ribosomal RNA
Source: RNAcentral
GACGAACGCUGGCGGCGUGCUUAACACAUGCAAGUCGAACGGUAAGGCCCUUCGGGGUACACGAGUGGCGAACGGGUGAGUAACACGUGGGUGAUCUGCCCUGCACUUCGGGAUAAGCCUGGGAAACUGGGUCUAAUACCGGAUAGGACCCUGGGAUGCAUGUCCUGGGGUGGAAAGCUUUUGCGGUGUGGGAUGGGCCCGCGGCCUAUCAGCUUGUUGGUGGGGUGAUGGCCUACCAAGGCGACGACGGGUAGCCGGCCUGAGAGGGUGACCGGGCACACUGGGACUGAGAUACGGCCCAGACUCCUACGGGAGGCAGCAGUGGGGAAUAUUGCACAAUGGGCGCAAGCCUGAUGCAGCGACGCCGCGUGAGGGAUGACGGCCUUCGGGUUGUAAACCUCUUUCAGCACCGACGAAGCGCAAGUGACGGUAGGUGCAGAAGAAGGACCGGCCAACUACGUGCCAGCAGCCGCGGUAC